RNAcentral lists this ribosomal RNA (253 nucleotides) under uncultured bacterium. RNAcentral's name for it is "partial 16S ribosomal RNA". It matches the Rfam family "Bacterial small subunit ribosomal RNA", at positions 524 to 776 of the family's 1533-position model. The record is from RNAcentral.
UACAGAGGGGGCGAGCGUUGUUCGGAAUUACUGGGCGUAAAGGGCGCGUAGGCGGCCUUCUAAGUCGAACGUGAAAUCCCCGGGCUCAACCCGGGAACUGCGUCCGAUACUGGAAGGCUUGAAUCCGGGAGAGGGAUGCGGAAUUCCAGGUGUAGCGGUGAAAUGCGUAGAUAUCUGGAGGAACACCGGUGGCGAAGGCGACAUCCUGGACCGGUAUUGACGCUGAGGCGCGAAAGCCAGGGGAGCAAACGGG